GCCAUCGUAGCUCAGUGGUAGAGCACACCCAUGGUAAGGGUGGGGUCAUGGGUUCAAUCCCCAUCGAUGGCUCCA
RNAcentral lists this transfer RNA (75 nucleotides) under bacterium. RNAcentral describes it as "tRNA-Thr". It matches the Rfam family "tRNA". Rfam says of the family: Transfer RNA (tRNA) molecules are approximately 80 nucleotides in length. Their secondary structure includes four short double-helical elements and three loops (D, anti-codon, and T loops). RNAcentral also lists the same sequence under 1 other name. The record is from RNAcentral.